UUAAAUGAAUUGACGGGACCCGCACAAGCGGUGGAUGAUGUGGUUUAAUUCGAUGCAACGCGAAAAACCUUACCCACCUUUGACAUGGCAGGAAUCCUAAAGAGAUUUGGGAGUGCUCGAAAGAGAACCUGCACACAGGUGCUGCAUGGCUGUCGUCAGCUCGUGUCGUGAGAUGUUGGGUUAAGUCCCGCAACGAGCGCAACCCUUGCCAUUAGUUGCUACGAAAGGGCACUCUAAUGGGACUGCCGGUGACAAACCGGAGGAAGGUGGGGAUGACGUCAAGUCCUCAUGGCCCUUAUAGGUGGGGCUACACACGUCAUACAAUGGCCGGUACAGAGGGUAGCCAACCCGCGAGGGGGAGCCAAUCCCACAAAGCCGGUCGUAGUCCGGAUCGCAGUCUGCAACUCGACUGCGUGAAGUCGGAAUCGCUAGUAAUCGCGGAUCAGCAUGUCGCGGUGAAUACGUUCCCGGGUCUU
RNAcentral lists this ribosomal RNA (476 nucleotides) under uncultured Allobrachymonas sp. RNAcentral's name for it is "bacterial SSU rRNA". It matches the Rfam family "Bacterial small subunit ribosomal RNA", at positions 901 to 1382 of the family's 1533-position model. Lineage: Bacteria; Pseudomonadati; Pseudomonadota; Betaproteobacteria; Burkholderiales; Comamonadaceae. The record is from RNAcentral.